UCUCCGUAGGUGAACCUGCGGAGGGAUCAUUAAGAAUUGAACAGCAGUGUCUGGCACUGUUGCCCAUUCUAACCCUUUGUGAACUACAACUCUGUUGCUUCGGGGGCGACCCUGCCGUUUCGACGGCGAGCGCCCCCGGAGGCCUUCAAACACUGCAUCUUUGCGUCGGAGUUUAAGUAAAUUAAACAAAACUUUCAACAACGGAUCUCUUGGUUCUGGCAUCGAUGAAGAACGCAGC
Molecule: unclassified non-coding RNA, 238 nt
Filed under: uncultured fungus
Lineage: Eukaryota; Fungi
Description: sequence contains ITS1, 5.8S rRNA gene
Rfam family: 5.8S ribosomal RNA (bases 190-238)
Source: RNAcentral